RNAcentral lists this ribosomal RNA (481 nucleotides) under uncultured bacterium. Its description in RNAcentral is "partial 16S ribosomal RNA". It matches the Rfam family "Bacterial small subunit ribosomal RNA", at positions 30 to 507 of the family's 1533-position model. The record is from RNAcentral.
AUUGAACGCUGGCGGCAUGCUUUACACAUGCAAGUCGAACGGUAACAGGCCGCAAGGUGCUGACGAGUGGCGAACGGGUGAGUAAUGCAUCGGAACGUGCCCAGUCGUGGGGGAUAACUACUCGAAAGAGUAGCUAAUACCGCAUACGAUCUAUGGAUGAAAGCGGGGGACCGUAAGGCCUCGCGCGAUUGGAGCGGCCGAUGUCAGAUUAGGUAGUUGGUGGGGUAAAGGCUCACCAAGCCAACGAUCUGUAGCUGGUCUGAGAGGACAACCAGCCACACUGGGACUGAGACACGGCCCAAACUCCACGGGAGGCAGCAGUGGGGAAUUUUGGACAAUGGGCGCAAGCCUGAUCCAGCAAUGCCGCGUGCAGGAAGAAGGCCUUCGGGUUGUAAACUGCUUUUGUACGGAACGAAACGGCUCUGGUUAAUACCCGGGGCUAAUGACGGUACCGUAAGAAUAAGCACCGGCUAACUACGUG